CCUAACACAUGCAAGUCGAGCGGAAACGAUCCUAGCUUGCUAGGAGGCGUCGAGCGGCGGACGGGUGAGUAAUGCAUAGGAAUCUGCCCGGUAGUGGGGGAUAACCUGAGGAAACUCAGGCUAAUACCGCAUACGUCCUACGGGAGAAAGCAGGGGCUCUUCGGACCUUGCGCUAUCGGAUGAGCUUAUGUCGGAUUAGCUGGUUGGUGAGGUAACGGCUCACCAAGGCGACGAUCCGUAGCUGGUCUGAGAGGAUGAUCAGCCACAUCGGGACUGAGACACGGCCCGAACUCCUACGGGAGGCAGCAGUGGGGAAUAUUGGACAAUGGGGGCAACCCUGAUCCAGCCAUGCCGCGUGUGUGAAGAAGGCCCUCGGGUUGUAAAGCACUUUCAGUGAGGAAGAAGGCUUGUCGGUUAAUACCCGGCAAGAAAGACAUCACUCACAGAAGAAGCACCGGCUAACUCCGUGCCAGCAGCCGCGGUAAUACGGAGGGUGCGAGCGUUAAUCGGAAUUACUGGGCGUAAAGCGUGCGUAGGCGGCUUGAUAAGCCGGUUGUGAAAGCCCCGGGCUCAACCUGGGAACGGCAUCCGGAACUGUCAGGCUAGAGUGCAGGAGAGGAAGGUAGAAUUCCCGGUGUAGCGGUGAAAUGCGUAGAGAUCGGGAGGAAUACCAGUGGCGAAGGCGGCCUUCUGGACUGACACUGACGCUGAGGUACGAAAGCGUGGGUAGCAAACAGGAUUAGAUACCCUGGUAGUCCACGCCGUAAACGAUGUCGACUAGCCGUUGGGGUCCUCGAGACCUUUGUGGCGCAGUUAACGCACUAAGUCGACCGCCUGGGGAGUACGGCCGCAAGGUUAAAACUCAAAUGAAUUGACGGGGGCCCGCACAAGCGGUGGAGCAUGUGGUUUAAUUCGAUGCAACGCGAAGAACCUUACCUACCCUUGACAUCGUGCGAACUUUCCAGAGAUGGAUUGG
Molecule: ribosomal RNA, 976 nt
Filed under: Halomonas caseinilytica
Lineage: Bacteria; Pseudomonadati; Pseudomonadota; Gammaproteobacteria; Oceanospirillales; Halomonadaceae
Description: bacterial SSU rRNA
Rfam family: Bacterial small subunit ribosomal RNA
Source: RNAcentral